GACGAACGCUGGCGGCGUGCUUAACACAUGCAAGUCGAACGGAAAGGCCCCUUUGGGGGUCCUCGAGUGGCGAACGGGUGAGUAACACGUGAGUAACCUGCCCUUGACUUCGGGAUAACUUCAGGAAACUGGGGCUAAUACCGGAUAGGAAUCCUUGCUGCAUGGUGGGGGUUGGAAAGCUUCGGCGGUUUUGGAUGGACUCGCGGCUUAUCAGCUUGUUGGUGGGGUAGUGGCUUACCAAGGCUUUGACGGGUAGCCGGCCUGAGAGGGCGACCGGCCACAUUGGGACUGAGAGACGGCCCAGACUCCUACGGGAGGCAGCAGUGGGGAAUAUUGCACAAUGGGCGGAAGCCUGAUGCAGCAACGCCGCGUGCGGGAUGACGGCCUUCGGGUUGUAAACCGCUUUCAGCAGGGGCGAAGCUUGUGGUGACGGUACCUGCAGAAGAAGCACCGGCUAACUACGUG
Molecule: ribosomal RNA, 465 nt
Filed under: uncultured bacterium
Lineage: Bacteria
Description: partial 16S ribosomal RNA
Rfam family: Bacterial small subunit ribosomal RNA
Source: RNAcentral